RNAcentral lists this ribosomal RNA (463 nucleotides) under uncultured bacterium. Its description in RNAcentral is "bacterial SSU rRNA". It matches the Rfam family "Bacterial small subunit ribosomal RNA", at positions 8 to 518 of the family's 1533-position model. The record is from RNAcentral.
AGAGUUUGAUCCUGGCUCAGAACGAACGCUGGCGGCAGGCUUAACACAUGCAAGUCGAACGCACCGCAAGGUGAGUGGCAGACGGGUGAGUAACGCGUGGGAACCUUCCCUUUGGUACGGAAUAACUUCGGGAAACCGAAGCUAAUACCGUAUAUCUCCUCCGGGAGAAAGAUUUAUCGCCAAAGGAUGGGCCCGCGUUGGAUUAGCUAGUUGGUAGGGUAAUGGCCUACCAAGGCGACGAUCCCAUAGCUGGUCUGAGAGGAUGAUCAGCCACACUGGGACUGAGACACGGCCCAGACUCCUACGGGAGGCAGCAGUGGGGAAUAUUGGACAAUGGGCGAAAGCCUGAUCCAGCCAUGCCGCGUGAGUGAAGAAGGCCUUAGGGUUGUAAAGCUCUUUUGGCGGGGACGAUAAUGACGGUACCCGCAGAAUAAGCCCCGGCUAACUUCGUGCCAGCAGCGGC